RNAcentral lists this ribosomal RNA (253 nucleotides) under uncultured bacterium. RNAcentral's name for it is "partial 16S ribosomal RNA". It matches the Rfam family "Bacterial small subunit ribosomal RNA", at positions 524 to 776 of the family's 1533-position model. The record is from RNAcentral.
UACGUAGGGUGCGAGCGUUGUCCGGAAUUACUGGGCGUAAAGAGCUUGUAGGUGGUUUGUCGCGUUGUUCGUGAAAUCUCACGGCUCAACUGUGAGCGUGCGGGCGAUACGGGCAGACUAGAGUACUGCAGGGGAGACUGGAAUUCCUGGUGUAGCGGUGGAAUGCGCAGAUAUCAGGAGGAACACCGGUGGCGAAGGCGGGUCUCUGGGCAGUAACUGACGCUGAGGCGCGAAAGCCAGGGGAGCAAACGGG